AUCAUGCUCAGGACGAACGCUGGCGGCGUGCUUAACACAUGCAAGUCGAACGAGAAUCUACGGAUCGAGGAUUCGUCCAAGUGAAGUAGAGGACAGUGGCGGACGGGUGAGUAACGCGUGAGGAACCUGCCUUUCAGAGGGGGACAACAGUUGGAAACGACUGCUAAUACCGCAUGACACAUUGGGGUCGCAUGGCCCUGAUGUCAAAGAUUUAUCGCUGAAAGAUGGCCUCGCGU
Molecule: ribosomal RNA, 236 nt
Filed under: uncultured bacterium
Lineage: Bacteria
Description: partial 16S ribosomal RNA
Rfam family: Bacterial small subunit ribosomal RNA
Source: RNAcentral